This 481-nucleotide ribosomal RNA is filed under the name uncultured bacterium. Its description in RNAcentral is "partial 16S ribosomal RNA". It matches the Rfam family "Bacterial small subunit ribosomal RNA", at positions 28 to 523 of the family's 1533-position model. The record is from RNAcentral.
GACGAACGCUGGCGGCGUGCUUAACACAUGCAAGUCGAACGGAAAGGCCCCUUCGGGGGUGCUCGAGUGGCGAACGGGUGAGUAACACGUGGGUGAUCUGCCCUGCACUUUGGGAUAAGCCUGGGAAACUGGGUCUAAUACCGAAUACACCUUCCUGGUUGCAUGGCUGGGUGGGGAAAGCUUUUGCGGUGUGGGAUGGGCCCGCGGCCUAUCAGCUUGUUGGUGGAGUGAUGGCCUACCAAGGCGACGACGGGUAGCCGGCCUGAGAGGGUGUCCGGCCACACUGGGACUGAGAUACGGCCCAGACUCCUACGGGAGGCAGCAGUGGGGAAUAUUGCACAAUGGGCGCAAGCCUGAUGCAGCGACGCCGCGUGAGGGAUGACGGCCUUCGGGUUGUAAACCUCUUUCAAUAGGGACGAAGCGCAAGUGACGGUACCUAUAGAAGAAGCACCGGCCAACUACGUGCCAGCCGCCGCCGUAA